ACGUCACCGCCGCCCGGUCCCCGCCGCCAUUGGAGUUGGAGGGUCUCGCGCUCCAUCCCGGCUCGGGGCCAGCGCGGGGGACAGGCCGCGGGGCGCGGAGCGAGGGCGGGCGGGGAUGUGAGGAGAAGGGCCGGCAGGGCGAGCAGCGACCGGACCGACCCCUCCCGCCCUGCCCCGGGGGGGGGCCUAGCCUGAGGAGAGACCCCCUUCCCCCCCACACACAUACCCACGCCCGCGCGCGCUGACCCGGCCCCGCCCCUCCCCCGGGGCCCAGUCCGGAGCGCCCCCGCAGGCCCAGGGGACAGGCGCUUCCCCCCCCCCCCCCCCCCCCGCCCAGGUGGCGCCCCGCGUUCUCGCCGUGCGCCUCCCCGCUGCGCGGAGGGGCCCGGGCCCUGCCCCUCCCCCUCCCCCCGCUCCCUGCUGACCACGGGGGCCCCGUACAUGAAUGAUGUCGGCCACCAGCGUUGACCCUCAACGACCGAAAGGACAAGAUAAUAAAGUACAAAAUGGUUCAUUGCAUCAGAAGGACACAGUUCAUGACAACGAUUUUGAACCUUACCUUUCUGGACAGUCAAAUCAGAAUAAUAGCUAUCCAUCAAUGACUGAUCCCUAUUUGUCCAGUUAUUAUCCACCAUCUAUUGGGUUUCCCUAUUCUCUCAGUGAAGCACCGUGGUCUACUGGAGGAGAUCCUCCUAUCCCAUACCUCACCACCUAUGGACAGCUCAGUAAUGGAGACCAUCAUUUUAUGCAUGAUGCUGUUUUUGGACAGCCUGGGGGUCUGGGAAACAACAUCUACCAACACAGAUUUAAUUUUUUCCCUGAAAAUCCUGCUUUCUCAGCUUGGGGAACAAGUGGGUCCCAAGGACAGCAGACUCAAAGUUCAGCUUAUGGGAGCAGUUACAGCUACCCACCUAGCUCACUGGGUGGUACUAUUGUGGAUGGACAAACAGGAUUUCAUAAUGAUACUUUGAAUAAAGCACCUGGAAUGAAUAGUAUUGAACAGGGAAUGGUUGGACUUAAGAUUGGUGGAGAUGUAACAACUUCUGCUGUGAAAACAGUAGGUUCUGUUGUUAACAGCGCCGGAAUGACGGGUGCUCUCUCUGGUAAUGGUGGAUCCAGUGUAAACUUGCCAGUAUCUAAACCAACCUCUUGGGCUGCUAUUGCCAGCAAGCCUGCAAAACCACAGCCGAAAAUGAAAACAAAAACUGGGCCUGUAAUUGGAGGAGCUUUGCCUCCACCACCUAUAAAACAUAAUAUGGACAUAGGUACUUGGGAUAAUAAGGGUCCUGUGACAAAAGUUCCUACUCCCCAGCAAAUCCCAUCUCCUCAGUCUGUCCCACAGCCACAGCAACAAAUGGUUCAGCCUAUUCCAGCUCAACCUCCUCCAUUGACCCAGCCACAGUAUCAAAGUCCUCAGCAGCCACCCCAAAACCGCUGGGUGGCUCCCCGCAACAGAAAUGCAGCUUUUGGCCAAAGUGGAGGAACUGGUAAUGAUAGCAACUCAGCUGGCAGUACCCAGCCUAACUCUGUCCCAAGUGGCGAAUCCCAUCCCGUUCUUGAAAAACUGAAAGCUGCUCAUAGCUAUAACCCGAAAGAUUUUGAAUGGAAUCUUAAAAAUGGACGUGUGUUCAUAAUAAAGAGCUAUUCUGAGGAUGAUAUUCAUCGUUCCAUUAAAUAUUCUAUUUGGUGUAGCACAGAACAUGGCAACAAACGCUUGGACAGCGCUUUCCGAUCCAUGAAUAGUAAGGGCCCAGUCUACUUACUAUUCAGUGUUAAUGGUAGUGGACAUUUCUGUGGAGUAGCAGAAAUGAAAUCACCUGUGGACUAUGGCACUAGUGCUGGCGUCUGGUCUCAGGACAAAUGGAAGGGGAAAUUUGAUGUGAAAUGGAUCUUUGUGAAGGAUGUGCCCAACAACCAGCUCCGACACAUCAGGCUGGAGAACAAUGACAACAAACCAGUUACAAACUCCCGUGACACACAGGAGGUGCCCUUAGAAAAAGCAAAACAAGUGCUUAAAAUUAUUGCUACUUACAAGCACACAACCUCCAUCUUUGAUGACUUUUCCCAUUAUGAAAAGCGCCAAGAAGAGGAGGAGGUGGUGCGGAAGCUCCCAGUCAGUUUCUCAACUUUGAAUGAGCUAGUCAUUGAAUUGAUCUAGUUUAAAAACAAAUGAAGAAAAUACUUUCUCUGUACCUCCAGAUGAGACUGCCAUUGUCAAAAGCUGGUUUAGCACCUCAAGAAACUCGGGUUCCAGGUGCUUAGUUUGUGGCUUCCAGUUCAAUGAAGAGAGAGAAUAGAUUGGAGACAUGGUAGUAAAUGUCAGAACAGUGGAGUGGAGAAGGGCAUCUGCCAUCAAAAGAUUGGAACUUAAAACCACUGUCUUGACUUAUGCAGUUCAAAUAUAGGUUGGAAAACUUAAUAACAAUAUAUAAUUAUGCCAAUAAUGCUAGCCCCAGGUCUGAGCCCCUUGAUUAAGAACAUAUCGCUUUGGUUACUAGUAUUUAUAAUUAAGAAACAAACAUCACUUCAUUGGCAAUUGAUAAUUCAGCCAACCAAUGAGAACCUUCCCUCUACACUGUUCUAGUCUUAAAAAAUAUAUAUAUAUAUUACUUUAUAAAUCCUACAGACUACUUAAAUUUUCAUUUAAUUUAGUCCUUAUCAGUUUGUUGUAUUUGUAUUUUCCGCAAAAAAAAUAAUCAUCAUAAAUGUUCAGGUCUUGUUCAUAAGCUCAUUGUAGCCUGAAAACUAAAACGUGUGUUAACCCAGUUACAAAUGCAGUUUGGUUUCUUUCUCUCUAGUUGUCACAAGUUUAAAAUUAGAAUAGUUCAACAUGGUAGGAAGCUCUGUGUAGAUAGCUCUUUACCACCGUGUUUGGAGAAAAUGUGGAUGGGAUCUAUGUGAAAAGGCUUUAAAUUGAAAAGUGUGAUUUGAGGUAAUUAGUCUGAGUAAUUUAUGCUAAGGUUACUUGCAUUCAUUUUAAGCUUAUUUUGAAAUGGAAGGAUCUAAUUUUCAAAAAGUAAAAAAAACAAAAAAACCCCCAGUCUCUGCAUCCUGCUUGGGAGCUCCAUCUUUCAUGUCUGUUUGUAGCUAACAUAAAUGCUGAUCAUAGAUGCUGCUAAACUCAAUUAGUGUAUCCAGUAGGACUUUUUAACUUCUAAGCCUCUCGUUGGACAUGGUGGUUGGGCUACUGAACCAGUGCCAUAUCAAUAGUCAUUCAAAUAAAAUGUAAAGUCUUAUUAAACUAUGGUUCUUAAUGCCUUGUAUUUUACAUUAUGCAAAUGUUUUGCUUUAAGGAAUAUUAAUGGAUACGGGGGGAAAGUUAUGAAGAUGCGCCCCUCAUAUUAACAGCUCUUAACAUUUUAAACCCGCCUUGUAUCUUAGAUGAAAACAAAGUAGAGAAUGACACCAGUCCAGGAAAAAAAAGUUAAGAUAUUUGUCACUUCAAUUUUUCUGAGUUUUUUAAAAACAGGGAAAAUAUAGCAAUCCCAACUAAUUCGGAAACUAAAGGAAAAAGUCAUAAACUAGCAAUGUUUAGCUGUUAAAAGACUCCUAGCUUCUUGGGAAGGUAAAAUGGUAUUUUUGGCUUCUCAUAGUAGAUAUUCACUGCUCCGCUCUCUGGAGCGCUGUAUUUGCACCCACAUAAGCUUUUGCUGGGAUAUUCUUGUCAAUUUUUCUGUUCCAGAGGCAGUUACUGAACAGUCCCUCUCUUUUUCUUGCUUGUUACCAAUUUCCCCUGGUUUUGCGUGAACUGCCCUGCAUGAUCCCUUGCUCACUACCCCCACUAAAGAGUGGAGAGCACAGCUGCUCCUCUUGCUCACUGGGAGACAUUCUUGCAGACUUGUUGAGACCCUUUUUCUCCACAUUUACUGCAUUUAGGGCACAAAUUAAGUAGACUGCCCUUUCCAAAGUUGAGCCCUGUCUGGGGUUUUCCUUUAAUGUCCCUUGCUCUUUGGUGGAGGUUAUCUGAAACUCAGUGAGACUUCAGUGAGCCCCUGGCUUCUACUUCAUUCAGCAUCAUAGUGUCUUACAAGUCUUGCUUGCUUCAUUCAGCAACACUUUCUCUACCAGACUUUUGAAGUCUCCCAGAACGUCUUCCAAGAAGAAUAGUAAGGUAGCAGAGGGAGAAAAGGUUUGGGGCAAGUUUCAAAAGUGACAUGCACUUAAGAGUGGAAGUUCUGUCACCUUCCAGUGAGACCUAAGGCGCUAACAAAAGGGCACUUUUGAAAAUUUUGCACUUGUUCUGUGGAUCCCUUCAGUCUGUUCCUACCCUUGUACCAAUCCAGCUGCUGUUGCUAGAGAUCAAAAUAUUCAAGGUCUGUCUUCAGUUAUGAAUUUUAGUUUCCCAUACUUACGUUCUCUGCUGUAGCACUCACCUGUUACCAUUUUGGGGCCUGCGUGACUGGUCUAGCUGCAUGUACACUUGCUCUGCACGCAUUCAGCAACUCCACUUAAAAUUUCAUGUGUUCAUUUGAUUCCUGUAUUCUUUUAUGUGUCAAAUAUAUACUAUAUAUGAUAAAUAAUUGCUGUUGUAAUUUUAAAAUUACGUGCAAGUCAUAAUUGUGGGCUGCACCAGUAAUU
This is an RNA transcript of Dermochelys coriacea (leatherback sea turtle), 4578 nucleotides long. It is a transcript of the gene named YTH N6-methyladenosine RNA binding protein 1, with no coding region annotated. Lineage: Eukaryota; Metazoa; Chordata; Testudines; Dermochelyidae. The record is from RefSeq and is a predicted model, not a curated record. The transcript is spliced from 6 exons.